AUAGAUCUUAAUAAAUGUAGUAAUUAAUUAAGUUAAGAUUCAAUUUUUAAUUAUUAUGAAAUUUAUUUAAUUGGGGUGAUUAGGAGAUAAGUAAAACUCUUUUUAAGUUUUAAUAAUAUAAUUAGUUAUAUGAUCCAUAGUUAAUGAUUAUAAGAUUAAAUUACCUUAGGGAUAACAGCAUAAUUCUUUUUGAGAGUUCAUAUUGAAGAAAGAGAUUGUGACCUCGAUGUUGGAUUAAGAUUAGUUUUGGGUGCAGAUUUUCAAUAACUAGGUCUGUUCGACCUUAAAAAUCUUACA
RNAcentral lists this ribosomal RNA (297 nucleotides) under Vates weyrauchi. Its description in RNAcentral is "partial 16S ribosomal RNA". The stretch from base 171 to 297 matches the Rfam family "Bacterial large subunit ribosomal RNA", at positions 2473 to 2600 of the family's 2925-position model. The record is from RNAcentral. Lineage: Eukaryota; Metazoa; Arthropoda; Insecta; Mantodea; Mantidae.